CCAAUAAUCGAAAGUGGAUAGUCAUGUAAUCUCCAGCCCUCACGGGCCAGAGGGAAUAUAAUCCAAUACCAGACCGCCAUUUAAACUGGAGAGAGAGAGAAAAACAAACUUUCCAAGGAGGGAAGAGUCGCCGGAGUUGAACGUUUCCCAGGAUUCUACACAGGAUCCUAUGGUUACCCUGUUCACAGAGAUUUCAAACUUGGCAUUGCAGUGGGUAACAGCUGGGACCACGUUGGCCUGGGGCUGCCACAUGAAGCCGGGCAUUCCACCCUGGCAAGCUGUGCAGCUGAAUCAGAUGGAAGAAAAGUCGAACAAUAAAUUGCGGAGUUUCGCUAAGACCUCAGCUACAAGAAGUAGAUCUUGAAUUGAAGCUAUCUGUCAGCACACUUUUACAGAAAUGAAAUGCGACCAGCUCUGUGCAGCUAAUGGAAGGAUUCUUAACUAAAGUUCUAAUUUACCUCUUGCGAAGUUCAAAUCCCUGUCGAGAAGAAAUCGACAUCGAUCCAACCCCUCAGAGCCAGGUUCUGCCACUACAGCAAAGAACGUUCAACCAUACAAGGGAGUUUCGACACGCACAGCAAACUCCCUUAAACUGUACGGAUCUGUUUUGAUCAGCCAAAUUCAGCCGACAUUGCUUUACCGGAACUCGAAGUUUGCGAUUUUGUCGCGACCGCUGUGUUUUGCCUUCGAGGGAAGAAGUUGAGAAGCUGGUGAUGCAGCUUAUACGAUGGAUACACCUUACACAACUUGCUGAAUGACAUUGUCACUGUCAUAGUUGUAAAAGCCUUUGUUCAAACUGAAUUUCAACAACAACUGAAGCAAGGAAAAGGGGACGAGGACACAAAGCAAAGCACUAAUCCACUCAAAGAAGGCAGGCACAAAAUAAAGGAAGCAGGAACAGAGACUGGGCCCCAGAGCAAAUCCAAGUGCAGAAAAUAUUGUGC
This is a long non-coding RNA of Stegostoma tigrinum, 944 nucleotides long. RefSeq lists it as uncharacterized. Lineage: Eukaryota; Metazoa; Chordata; Chondrichthyes; Orectolobiformes; Stegostomatidae. The record is from RefSeq and is a predicted model, not a curated record. The transcript is spliced from 3 exons.